Long non-coding RNA from Gallus gallus (chicken), 1511 nucleotides. NCBI's taxonomy places the organism in Eukaryota, Metazoa, Chordata, Aves, Galliformes, Phasianidae. The record is from Ensembl.
UAUUACUUCUUGUCCUAUCACUCUCCUUGUCCUAUCCUAAGUGCCCUCAGAAAAGGUCAGUGUUUGUCCAUUGACUGGGAAUAGACAUUAGGCAACCAGUGUAGCUUGGACAACUGCCUUUUUGACUUAAAAUCAGAUGGGAUGGAUCUAAUGCCAGGAGAUGUGCUGGAAGAAAUGAUGAACACUUAGAGUACCAAUAGAAGAGAUAAUAGAAGCAAGGCUUAUUUAGGACUGCUGAAAGAUCAGACUGGACAACAACUUCAAAAGAACACAAAAUAAGUAGACACUGUCAUGUUUUCAUUCUUAUCUGUCAGUACAUAAAUUUAUGAAGGCUAGAAUUAGAAUAUUGAUAAUUCUUAAUCUCAGGAGAAAGUCUGAAAGAUAAAUCCAUUAAAAUUUGAAUUUAUGAUAUAAUGGUAUGAUAUAAUGGUGAUUAUUUUCACUAUUUUUUAAAAGAUUUGAUGCCACAAUCAGUGGAUUUGUAAGAAAGUUGGAUAAUGACUACAUAGCCAGAAAACAGACAAGCAAAAAGUUCUGUACUAUUCCUUACUUGUCCAUUGGGAUCAAAAGAAUUUGGGUACUUUGAAAAGCUUUAGAUUGAUGCAGGUCACAGUCUGAACAUCUACAUGGAAUUCAGACUUGGUCAUACCAUCUCAGAAACAGAAAGGCUAACAGUAUAUUACUUAAUUUGAGGGCAUGGUAGGAUUUCAAGCAUUAAGAUGUUAAAUAGGAUAUUUCUUUGGUUCUGCAGGUCUUGGUGUUUCUAAUGAACACCUGAGGUUCAGACCUCUAGAAACUUGGUGUUUCUAGAGCAGCUGAGGGUGCUUUAUUAGAAACAACUGAGAACAAUUAGAUACUUACUUCAUAUCAAUACCAAUACUGACAUCAAUUCUUUCUGCUCUUAAACAUACUUUUUAGCCUUUUUUAUGCAGCACUUAUGUUUUCCUCUUGCUUUUCUGAGCAUUCUAUUCUUCCAAAUCACUUGGUGUUAUCUUCAAUCUUCCUUCCCUUCCCACUCAUACAUUGUCCCCCGCCCCCCAGAAAUGUGUGCUAGGUUUGAAAGUUGUCCUAAUGACUUUAAAGAUUAGAAAAGCAAAAGGAAAACCAAAUGAUUUUGAAAAGUGCACUAAUAUGAUCUUUUAGAGUGGAAGGAUGUGAAGUGAAGGAUGGAGAAAAACAGUAUCUGCACAAACAUAUCCAGAACACCAGUCCACUUAGCAAACUGGUUUGGAUCUGCCAUACUUACAGAUAUCCUGUAGUUGCUUGAAAUACUGUUUGUACCAAAUAGAUGUGCACCAGUCUGGAUGCCUGAAGAAGAGGUAUUCCCAAGCUGAAAGUAACUAUUUAUUUUGCUAAUGUUGUAUCUAUACAGCCCUUUGAAAACAUCAGGUACCACUUACGUGUUAUUACAUUCAAAUAAUAAUAAAAACACAUGAAGCAUCAGAUAUUUAACCCUCUCUAUCCCCAAGAAACACACAAAUACAGUACUGUUCUAAUAAAUCCUUAAUUUU